CCUACGGGAGGCAGCAGUAGGGAAUAUUGCUCAAUGGAGGAAACUCUGAAGCAGCAACGCCGCGUGGAGGAUGAAGGUUUUCGGAUUGUAAACUCCUUUUGUUAGAGAAGAUAAUGACGGUAUCUAACGAAUAAGCACCGGCUAACUCCGUGCCAGCAGCCGCGGUAAUACGGAGGGUGCAAGCGUUACUCGGAAUCACUGGGCGUAAAGAGCGCGUAGGCGGGAUAGCAAGUCAGAUGUGAAAUCCUAUGGCUUAACCAGAGAACUGCAUUUGAAACUGUUAUUCUAGAGUAUGGGAGAGGUAGGUGGAAUUCUUGGUGUAGGGGUAAAAUCCGUAGAGAUCAAGAGGAAUACUCAAUGCGAAGGCGACCUGCUAGAACAUAACUGACGCUGAUGCGCGAAAGCGUGGGGAGCAAACAGGAUUAGAUACCCCAGUAGUC
Molecule: ribosomal RNA, 440 nt
Filed under: uncultured bacterium
Lineage: Bacteria
Description: partial 16S ribosomal RNA
Rfam family: Bacterial small subunit ribosomal RNA
Source: RNAcentral